This 468-nucleotide ribosomal RNA is filed under the name uncultured bacterium. RNAcentral describes it as "partial 16S ribosomal RNA". It matches the Rfam family "Bacterial small subunit ribosomal RNA", at positions 28 to 507 of the family's 1533-position model. The record is from RNAcentral.
GACGAACGCUGGCGGCGUGCUUAACACAUGCAAGUCGAACGGAAAGGCCCUGCUUUUGUGGGGUGCUCGAGUGGCGAACGGGUGAGUAACACGUGAGUAACCUGCCCUUGACUUUGGGAUAACUUCAGGAAACUGGGGCUAAUACCGGAUAGGAGCUCCUGCUGCAUGGUGGGGGUUGGAAAGUUUCGGCGGUUGGGGAUGGACUCGCGGCUUAUCAGCUUGUUGGUGGGGUAGUGGCUUACCAAGGCUUUGACGGGUAGGCGGCCUGAGAGGGUGACCGGCCACAUUGGGACUGAGAUACGGCCCAGACUCCUACGUGAGGCAGCAGGGGGGAAUAUUGCACAAGGGGCGGAAGCCUGAUGCAGCAACGCCGCGUGCGUGAUGACGGCCUUCGGGUUGUAUACCGCUUUCGCCUGUGACGAAGCGUGAGUGACGGUAAUGGGUAAAGAAGCACCGGCUAACUACGUG